RNAcentral lists this ribosomal RNA (2103 nucleotides) under Triticum aestivum (bread wheat). Its description in RNAcentral is "partial small subunit ribosomal RNA". The record is from RNAcentral. Lineage: Eukaryota; Viridiplantae; Streptophyta; Magnoliopsida; Poales; Poaceae.
AUGCUCAAGGCUUUUGUUUCGGUGGGUCAGAAGCCCGACGUGAAGAAAGUUCUCAGGGACAUUUUCCUUGAGCUUGACAAGGAAGGCUACAGGAAAUCCAAUGCACAUACAUUGGAUGAAAAGCAGCUCAUAUUAGAACUCCGAGAAUUACUUGUGAAUAAGAGGUACUUUAUUGUUAUUGAUGAUAUAUGGGAUGUAGAAGCAUGGAAAAUAAUCAGUUGUGCUUUGAAGGAUAGUAACUGCGGAAGUAAAAUAAUCACAACUACUCGCAGUUUGGAAGUUGCCGCAAAGUCCGGUGAGGCUUACCAGCUAAAGCCACUUUCCCCCGACAACUCUGAAAACUUAUUGUAUAUGAGAUUAUAUGGUGGUAAAAGCAAAUGCCCUUUUGAUCAUCCGCUUGAGAUAUCUGAAAAGAUUUUACAGAGAUGUGGUGGUGUACCAUUAGCUAUCCUUACAAUAGCUAGUCUGUUAGAUGGUAAAGAGAGAGAGGAUUGGUCUAAGGUUUAUGACUCAAUUGGUUUUGGGCACGGAAAAAAUCAAGAUGUAGACAAUACAAGAAAGAUACUGCUAUUUAGCUAUUAUGAUCUACCCUAUUAUCUGAGACCUUGUUUAUUAUAUCUUAGCAUAUAUCCAGAAGACUACACGGUCGAAAAAGAAACUUUGAUCUGGAAGUGGUCAGCAGAAGGGUUUAUCAAGGAGGAACCGGGGAUAAGGCAAUAUGAGCUUGGAGAGAGAUACUUCAGUGAGCUGGUGAAUAGAAGUAUGAUACAACCCAUCUGGGGUGGUUAUGGCUCAUGUUUCGUGACUGGUUGUCGUGUCCAUGAUCUUGUGCUUGAUAUGAUAUCUCUAUUGUCAAAUGAAGAGAAUUUUGUUAGGGUAUGGGAUGUUAAUGAUCAAAGGAUAUCUUGCCAAAGUAAUGCUCGUAGGUUAGCCAUCCAAAAGAUAGUCUUGGAGCAGGAUGACUCUCUGGCUAACAUGUGCACCCCACAAUUGAGGUCAUUCAGUGCCAUCGGAUGUGAUAUUUAUGUGAUGCCAUCACUUACAAGUUUUGGAGCUUUACGUGUCCUAGAUAUGGAAGAUUGUAGUUUUAAUGGAGAUGGCAGUUAUCAUCUGGACCAUCUUGGUAGCUUAGUCCAUUUGAGGUACCUGGGAUUGCGGAGGAUGCCAAUAGAUAAGCUACCAGAAGAAAUAGGGAAUCUGAAGUUUUUGCAGACACUGAACUUGAUAUAUAAUGGGAAUGGGAUAAAAGAAUUGCCACAAAGUUUUGGUCUGUUAAGGCAACUCAAGCGCUUGCGUUUUGAAGUCGCUGAAGGAAUAGUUGGGAUGCAUUUGCUGGGGAACCUAACAUCAUUGGAAGAUCUACGGUUGACAUUUGACACUUGGUCUCCUGAGUUUGUAGUAGAGCUGCGCAAGCUGACGAUGCUGAGGAAUCUCAACCUAAGCAUUAUCUCUCACAAAGGCGUGGAUGAUAGCCAGGUGAAAGCUCUGGUGAAGUCUCUUGGCAAACUGAAAGAGAUCCAAAUUCUGUACAUUUACUUUAUGGGUUAUGUGAGUAUUGGACCCCAAGGGUGGGAAGGUUAUGUACCACCUCGACAGCUCCGUGAAUUCUUGAUAAGAACGGAGAAGGACAUGUUGCCGGCGUGGAUAAACCCGUCACUUGUUCCGAACCUCACCAGAUUAUGGUUCAAUCUGAAGGAAGUGAAGGCACGGGAUAUGGAGAUCCUUGGGAGUUUUCCAGAGCUCGUUACUCUACGGUUGACUGAUCUGUUUCUGGGGUCGCAGAACUUUCUCCCAGACGUCAUGGGGGGGUUAUUCCCCAAGUUGAGGUACUUCACUACACCUGCACCGCUGAGGUUUCUGCAGGGAGCGAUGCCGAGCCUUGAAUCCCUUCAAUACUGGUAUCUCGAAGUGGAUCGGUUGAAGCGUGACAGCAGCUUUGUGUUUGAGUUUGGUAGCUGGAAAAACCUCCGUUCACUCCAGAAAGUGGAAGCUACCUUCCGUUUAGGUCCAGCUCAAGAGAAGCAGAAUGAAGCUGUGGUUGCGCUGGAGCUCGCAGCCAACCAACAUCCCAACCGUCCUAACCUUACAGUCGAGAUAUACUGA